RNAcentral lists this ribosomal RNA (420 nucleotides) under uncultured soil bacterium. Its description in RNAcentral is "bacterial SSU rRNA". It matches the Rfam family "Bacterial small subunit ribosomal RNA", at positions 26 to 381 of the family's 1533-position model. The record is from RNAcentral.
AGGACGAACGCUGGCGGCGUGCUUAACACAUGCAAGUCGAGCGGAAAGGCCUUUCGGGGUACUCGAGCGGCGAACGGGUGAGUAACACGUGAGUAAUCUGCCCAUCGCUUCAGGAUAGCCAUCGGAAACGGUGAUUAAUACUGGAUAUGACAUUCCUUCGCAUGGUUGGGGUGUGGUAAAGUUUUUUCGGCGGUGGAUGUGCUCGCGGCCUAUCAGUCUUGGUUGGUGGGGUAAUGGACCUACCGAAGGUCUUUGGACGGGUAGCCCGGCCUGGAGGACGGGUCGACCCGGCCACGACGUGGGACUGGACGACCACCGGCCCAGACCUCCGUACGGGAGCAGCGAGGUAGGGAAUAGUUAGGAACAAGUGGGACGGAAGCCGUAGACUCCGAGGACCGAACCGGCCGGACGGUAGGAGGG